Molecule: long non-coding RNA, 220 nt
Organism: Gallus gallus (chicken)
Lineage: Eukaryota; Metazoa; Chordata; Aves; Galliformes; Phasianidae
Exons: 3
Source: RefSeq, a predicted model, not a curated record
GCAGGAGCGUUGACAUGGGGACAAUUGGGGGGGGGGACAUUGUCUGAUGUGGACAUCUGUGAGCCCCCAGAGCCUUUCGAGGUGUCUCUGCAGGAAGCCAUCCAAAUGAUUUGGGUGAAGCUGGGCCAGUUGGAGCAAGCUCCUGCCUGCAUCCCCCCCUGCGGGCACCAGCCGGCCGCCCGCGUCUUCCAGUGCGCGACCUGCCGCCUCGUGGACUGCC